Molecule: ribosomal RNA, 468 nt
Filed under: uncultured bacterium
Lineage: Bacteria
Description: partial 16S ribosomal RNA
Rfam family: Bacterial small subunit ribosomal RNA
Source: RNAcentral
GACGAACGCUGGCGGCGUGCUUAACACAUGCAAGUCGAACGGAAAGGCCCUGCUUUUGUUGGGUGCUCGAGUGGCGAACGGGUGAGUAACACGUGAGUAACCUGCCCUUGACUUUGGGAUAACUUCAGGAAACUGGGGCUAAUACCGGAUAGGAGCUCCUGCUGCAUGGUGGUGGUUGGAAAGUUUCGGCGGUUGGGGUUGGACUCGCGGCUUAUCAGCUUGUUGGUGGGGUAGUGGCUUACCAAGGCUUUGACGGGUAGCCGGCCUGAGAGGGUGACCGGCCACAUUGGGACUGAGGUAGGGCCCAGACGCCUACGGGGGGAAGCAGUGGGGAAUAUUGCGCGAUAGGCGGAAGCCGGAUGCAGCGUCGCCGCGUGCGGGAUGACGGCCUUCGGGUUGGAAACAGCUUGCGCCUGUGACGAAGCGUGAGUGACGGUAAUGGGUAAAGAAGCACCGGCUAACUACGUG